AAAUCUUACCGGGUCCGGACACACUGAGGAUUGACAGGCAAUAUUAAUACGUUUUGCUUCGGUAAUCGUAUUAUGUUAAAUAUGCUGGUCCUUUCAUGAUUAUGUGAUAGGUGGUGCAUGGCCGUUCUUAGUUCGUGGAGUGAUCUGUCUGCUUAAUUGCGUUUCACUAAGGGCCUAUAAAUUUACGUGUGUUGCAUCGCACUUUGACCCCUUUCUUUAAUUAGAGAGCGCGUGUCUUAGUUUUCGCUUUGCUCAUACAAUUAGGUCCUGAAAGCAACGAACGUGACCGCAACCUCUUGUUGCCUUUAUACCAAACAUGUUUUGCGUCAAUUUUCGAAUUGCGCGCAUUUCAUGAAAAAAGGCUUUUUAAACUAGAGGGACCGCUGUUACUUUCUUAAACCAGAGGAAGGUUGCGGCAAUAA
This 422-nucleotide ribosomal RNA is filed under the name uncultured marine eukaryote. RNAcentral's name for it is "bacterial SSU rRNA". It matches the Rfam family "Eukaryotic small subunit ribosomal RNA", at positions 1210 to 1456 of the family's 1831-position model. The record is from RNAcentral.